GUCUUGGCUCUGCGCGCAGCUGACAGAAGUUUGUCUCAGGCGCCGCCAGAGCUUGUGCAGGGGUGGCCGGGUCAGCGUCUCUGCUGACAGGAGCUGAGUCUCCUUUAGACUCGCCGGGGCUUGGGCUUCAGGACAACACGGGGCUGUGUCCAUGCUGACAGGAGCUGCGUUUCCUGACGACCCAGGAGACGCCAGGAGGAAAAGUGGUUCUGCAGGCUCGCCAGUUGUGAGCGUGGGCUCCAGGGAACUGAGAGGUUGAGGUCUGCACUUCCCAGCUGGCCAGCAGGCGGCACCAAGCCCACCUCUCUGAUACUUGAGGUGCAUGUGUGUUCCACUGGUGGACUUGGCUCAUGAAGGAACUUGGCUACUUGUGCCACUGAUAGAAGCUCGGUCUCUUCAGGAUCCACCAUGGUUUCAGCUUUGGGACAACACUUGGCUGAGUCCAUGCAGACAGAUCUGAACCCAGUGUCUUCAGGAACCACCAGGAGGCACCACCUUGGGAGUAAAAGGUUUCAGGAAAAUCGCUUUGCCUGGCUGGGGAAAGAAGAGGACCCCCAAAUCAUCCGAAGUCCUUGGGUCCUUGUAGCUGGUUGUAUAGAGAACUGGACACAUGCCAAAUGAGUAUUUGGCCUCCCUGCUCGAUCACCUGUAACCAAGCAUGGACAAGCCCUCUUUGAACAGUCUCCUGGAAUGCUGGAGAGGCUCUCUGGAUCUGUGUAACUGGAAGGAUCAAUCCAAGGGUUUGAAAGAAGAUACCAAGGGGGUCCUUAAUUUAGUCUGGGGAAUAUUCCACACUCCUUUCCACACUUGGGUGGAUGUCCAAACCCUCCUGAACAUCGUAUUCUCUGUGGAAGAAAAGACACUGAUUAUAACUAAUGCAACUGAAGAAGCUGAUAAGACCAAGCAAGGUAACGCAGGACAAGUUCUAUACCAGCCUUGAAUCCAGGCCAUUCCCUACAUGGACCCUUGGUGGGACCAGUAAGUGGAAAAUGGUCAGCAGCACCUCACACAUUUCAGGGAUUUGAUUCUUAAGAGCAUUCAGUUGGCUGGGAAGAAACCCUUAAAUUGGAGUAGGGUUCAGGGAGUCAUCCAGGGACUGAAGGAAACCCCCUUGGCUUUCCUGGAAUGCCUAAGGGAGUGCCUUUGUGGGUACACGAAGGUGAACCUGGAGUCAGUGGAAGGGUAGGCCAUUCUUAAGUCCCAUUUCACUUCCCAGAGCGCCCCAGACAUUAGGAGAAAAUUACAGAAGUUGGAGAUAGGGUGCACUACACCUUCUUCCUGGGGUGGAGUCAGCAUUUCGGGUGUUCAACAACCAGGAUCUGGAGGCAGAUGCCAAGGAAACUAGACCAGCGGAACCCAACUGCCAGUAUUCUGGCUUCAGUAAUUCAGGGUCAGUCAACCUCCCAGUGAUGAUGGGGCCUCCCCCAGAGGGACCCUGUGACAUCAGUGAGUCACCCCAGGUAUUGAAGACCACACCCACAGUGGAGAGAAGGGCUCAAAGCCAGUCCGUAGGGAGGAGGGCCACGGGGAAGGGGAUGCCCCAGACGUCUCAGAAGGAAGCUAAAGGGACCACUGUGUCCAGGCUCAUCCUUGCCGGUCUCACACGUGAAAGAAGAGGACUGAAGGGGCCCAGGGGCUCCUUGGAGAAGCCUUGGCUGACCCUGACUGUGGGGGUAAAACACACUUUCUAGUUCACUUUCUAGUCGACACAGGGGCCAUCUACUCAGUCUUGAACACCCGACAAGGCAGAAUGACCAAGGAUAAAUGUAAGAUAAUGGGAGUGGAAGGGAAGCCACAGGAACAUAAUUUUAUAGAGCCCCUUGAGUGCGAUUUGAAAGGGAGAAUGUUAUCUCACUCUUAUAUGUACCAGAAUGCCCAAUUCCCCUAAUAGGAAAAGACUUACUAUACAAAUUGGGAGCUACAAUUUAUCUCUGAGACAAAAACCUUACCACUGAAAAGCCCAGAAUACCCAAGGUGGAUGAUUAACAGUCAUGGGCAGCUGUUCCUCAUCAGCCACUGCACUGCAGGCCAUCCUGGAAGCUCACCAGAGGACACAUUAUGAGCAGGAGGCCCUAUAUCAACGGCUCAUCAGGGAUUUCCCUGGUGGGCCACUGGCUAAGACUCUGUGCUCCCAGUGCAGGGGGCCUGGGUUUGAUCCCUGUCAGGGAACUAGAUCCCACAUGCUGCAACUAAGAGUUCUCAUGCUGCAGCUAAAGAUCCUGCACGUUGCAAAGAAGAUCCCACGUGCCACAACUAAGUCCCAGCACAGCCAAAUAAAUAUAUAUAUUUUUUAAUGGCUCAUCAAAUCCAUGACUGCCCCCAAUUUCCAUAGUCUCCUUAAACAGGUGGUUGAAGCUUGCCCUAUCUGCCUCCAGAAUAAGGCCAACACAAACCCCCAACCAAGGUCAAGGGAGUGACCCCCACCCAGCAUAGAGGCACAUAUCCAGGUCAAGACUGGCAACCUGAUUUUACAGUAAUGCCCUGGACACAAGGAAGUUUUAGAUACUUGCUGGUUUUGACUGACACCUUCUCCGGCUGGAUGGAAGCAUUCCCCACCUGAACUGAGAUUGCCUGGGAGGUCUCUAAGGCCCUGUUCAAGGAAAUAAUCCCUCAGUUUGGGCUCCCUAAGUCCAUCCAGAAUGACAGUGGGCCUGCCUUUGUUUCCCAAAUGACUGAGGGAGUCGCUAGAGCUCUAGGAAUUAAAUGGGGUUUACACUCCACUUGGAGAUGACAAUCCUCAAGAAAAGCAGAAUAGGUCUUCCCUGGUGGCACAGUGGUUGGGAGUCUGCCUGCUAAUGCAAGGGACACGGGUUCGAGCCCUGGUCUGGGAGGGUCCCACAUGCCACAGAGCGGCUGGGCCCGUGGGCCACAGCUACUGAGCCUGCGUGUCUUCAAUGGGUGAGGCUGCGAUAGUGAGAGGCCUGCGCACCACGAUGAAGAGUGGCCCCCACUUGCCACAACUUGGGAGGGCCCUCGCACAGAGACAAAGACCCAACACAGCAAAAAUAAUAAAUUAAUAAACUCCUACCCCCAGCAUCUUAAAAAAAAAAAAAGAAAAGCAGAAUAAAUCAAACCCUCAAAAGAAACUUAGCCAAACCAUGUCAAGACAGUCAUCAACCCUGGAUCUCCCUUCUCCCCACAGCACUUUUGAGACUGCGAAUAGCCCCUAAAGGAAAGCUCAGGUUAAGUCCAUAUGAGCCCAUGUACAUGAGGCCCAUUCCUGAAGGACCCGGCUCCAAGACCAAUCUUAAGGAUAUGGACCGGCAGAAAUAUACCUUACAGACAGGGGAAAUAAUCAAAGCUUUACAUGCCUACGGGAAUCCGGAACUGCCUUCCCCUUUAGACAGGGUUUUACAUCCUUUCUCCCCUGAAAAUUGAUUUAUUUGAAAACCUGGAAGGCUGGAAAUCCACAAGACCAGUUAGACCCCAAGUGGACAGGACCUUAUCUAGUAAUCUGGACUACUUAUUCUGCUUUACAGUUACAGGGUAUAACUCCAUGGGCCCACCAUACCAGAGUGAAAACAGCACCUACACCGAAGGAAGAAGUUACUGAGCCAUCCACUCAAAGCGCCUAUGAACCUGUCACAGACCUUAAGUUACUUUUCAAAAGGCCUAACUUACCAAUAGAUAAGUAAUGCGGUGGGCAGGCUUAGUAGUUGGCCUUGUCAUUGCUAUUGCCUUACUUGGCUCCUGCUGUUCUGCCAAACUCCCUCCCUCUGGCAGAAAUCUCCUCUGUCCAUGCUGGAUAUCAGGGACAUUAACGUUGGAAGCAGGAUGAGUAGCCAUUAUUGUCUAUUCUUUCUUAUCUUCUCUGCUCUCUUACAACUGUCCACAUGGAAUGGGAACUCAGUGCAAUAGUAAAUUUCUCACGGAUUAUAGCCCGUGGACAAAGUCUAUCCCAGUGCUGGUCUGUCACCCCCAACCACAAAGUGAUGCCUAUGGAUUAAAGCCACAGGGUCUGGAGACAGAAGAAGGAAGCUAUAGGAAGAGAUGAACACCAGAUAGAACCAGCUGGAACAAAGGUGGCAACGAAUCUGACCUCCAGCAGACCCUCAGUCUCAUUCUGCUGAGUUGACUACAUUGGCUACUAGAUGACACACCUACUGGUGGCCCUAACUGGAAGAUACGGACCAAGAAAGGAUAAAAAGGGUGUGGCUCCCCUUUGCAGGGAAGUGCUGCCCCUUCCCUAGACUAAUGCAUGUGCUCCCCAUCAUUAGCCUCACUCCUCCUGCCUUUGUCUUUACUCUUUAAAAUCAAGUCCCUCUCACCACAUGGGCAAGAUGAUCUGUGAACUAAGUUCCCACUUCUCCAUUCCUUGGCCACAGAAUAAAACUUGAGCUGCGUCAA
Molecule: long non-coding RNA, 4347 nt
Organism: Lagenorhynchus albirostris (white-beaked dolphin)
Lineage: Eukaryota; Metazoa; Chordata; Mammalia; Artiodactyla; Delphinidae
Exons: 5
Source: RefSeq, a predicted model, not a curated record